UUUCUAGAAAAUGCUCUCUAGAACUCCAGCCCAUCUGUGUCGCGUGUCUACAGUGCUUCCAUUGGUGGUGUUACUGGACUGGGUUUGUUUUGGCCAAUUGCACAGCAAGCCGAAAGCUGAGACACGGAGGUUUGUAGCCAGUCACGGAAACAGGAGAAGCAUCUCACAUCCGCCUCCCCAAAGACAACGGCCUUGGGGUAUUUACUGGAUAAAGAAUAGAGCAGCAGGGCGGUUUGGCUUGAGGGGAGCAUGGGGAGAGGUGAUUGGAAAAUGGGAGAGUUGCGUUUUUGCACAGGUGUAACUACACUAAACGCCUCCACAAGAUCGAAAGGGCUGGGAAGACGCUGGCGCAUGCCCAGUGGAAGGGUUGGUGGUCCUAUCUGGUCUUAACCAGCUCAGUUUGAACUGGAUGAAGCGGACUCUGAGUUCCUGGGAAACAACCCUGGUGAAUGUUUUACUGUCCAGGCCAUGUGCCACUUGGAGGGCAGUUGAGUCUUAACCUGGAUCAGUAAAGGCAGGUGAAUUGGAUUUAUUCCACGGUGGGUACACAGAGGCAUCGCCAGGCCAGACAAGCACCUCGGAAGGUGGAGACGACUGUGAUCCUUCGAUACGCUGGCCCUGUCACCGCAGAAAGACCAGUGUCGGGACAGUCGUGCAAGGCUGAGGAGACAGGCUCGUAAACCAAUAAGCCUGAUGCUGGUGAUAAGGAUGGAACAAAGCAGUGCGGCUCCAGCAAUGAUGCAUGCGGUCUGAUCUGCGGGGAUGGAACCCAAAUAUAAGAUACAUUCUCACCCUGAGAGAGAUCCUGUCAUCCACGGGCCAUUUUCCAGAAUCUCGCUGAUACAUGUUCCUUCACCACCUCUGCCCAGGAGCGUCUAACCCCCUUCUGCACACGUCUGGUGAGGACUCUCCUUUCAAACAAGAACGCUCACUCUGCCAUCUGGGCUGAGGCUUGUUACAGAACCCUGCUCAAUUGAUCACUUUGGCUCAGUGAUUUGUAUGAGGUUAUCUGCACCUGCUCACAAAUAAAAAUUGUUCUGUCACGAGGAUGUGUCGGAUGGUUUUGUUAGUCAGAAAUGUAUUCAGUCUCAAGGAAGCCUCAGCUACUGAAUCAGGUAACCCUUCGGGCAAUUCUGAGACCAGAAGUCUUUCUGCAGAGGCAGAAAGUUCCCAGCAGAAGCCCCAUGUCCUGCUUUCUUUCUUUCUUUCUUUCUUUCUUUUUUUUGUCU
Non-coding RNA from Sus scrofa (pig), 1229 nucleotides. NCBI's taxonomy places the organism in Eukaryota, Metazoa, Chordata, Mammalia, Artiodactyla, Suidae. The record is from RefSeq and is a predicted model, not a curated record.